Brassica oleracea var. oleracea is the source of this 607-nucleotide long non-coding RNA. RefSeq lists it as uncharacterized. The record is from RefSeq and is a predicted model, not a curated record. The transcript is spliced from 2 exons. Lineage: Eukaryota; Viridiplantae; Streptophyta; Magnoliopsida; Brassicales; Brassicaceae.
AAGAGUGUCGACAAAAAAAAAAACAGAACAAACAAAUAAACACGGAUGUCAAACUCUUCUCACUUAACUUUACCUUUAAUCUGUGGUUCAGGUUUUUUUGUUGGGCUCUCUUUAAUAUUCUUGACCCCAUAAUAAUAUCCAAAUCAAGAAGAUGAUUCUUGCUCAUGUGUUGAUGAGAGCGUAAAAGAAACAGACAUCGAAGCUUCUCUUACAACGAUGGCGUCUAUUUUCAGACCUUCAGUUUCACUUGAUCUACGACCAAAGGUGGCUUGCACGAAUCAUCACUCAACGAUAGAACGAUUUGACUUUCGGAAGAACAAGAAUCUGAGAAAAGAUAAGGCUCAAUGGUAGCUUGAAGGCUAAUCAAGCACAAGGGUCAGCUGAAGGGAUCCGUGUGGUACAAGAGAAAGAGGUUUGCAAUCAAACCGGUAACUAAACCGAGUUCUCCUCAACAUAGUUUUCGGAUUAAUGUUACAGUUGAGAAUAAGACUUGUUGAUGCUAUAUAUUAUGGAGUUGUUGGGGUUCACCACGUUGGUCUGCUCUGCAAGAACUUAGAACGGUCACUGGAGUUUUACCAGAACAUUUUAGGACUUGAGAUCAACGAGG